AUUGAACGCUGGCGGCAUGCCUUACACAUGCAAGUCGAACGGCAGCACGGGUGCUUGCACCUGGUGGCGAGUGGCGAACGGGUGAGUAAUACAUCGGAACAUGUCCUGUAGUGGGGGAUAGCCCGGCGAAAGCCGGAUUAAUACCGCAUACGAUCUACGGAUGAAAGCGGGGGACCUUCGGGCCUCGCGCUAUAGGGUUGGCCGAUGGCUGAUUAGCUAGUUGGUGGGGUAAAGGCCUACCAAGGCGACGAUCAGUAGCUGGUCUGAGAGGACGACCAGCCACACUGGGACUGAGACACGGCCCAGACUCCUACGGGAGGCAGCAGUGGGGAAUUUUGGUCAAAGGGCGAAAGCCUGAUCCAGCAAUGCCGCGUGUGUGAAGAAGGCCUUCGGGUUGUAAAGCACUUUUGUCCGGAAAGAAAUCCUUGGCCCUAAUACGGUCGGGGGAUGACGGUACCGGAAGAAUAAGCACCGGCUAACUACGUG
RNAcentral lists this ribosomal RNA (486 nucleotides) under uncultured bacterium. RNAcentral's name for it is "partial 16S ribosomal RNA". It matches the Rfam family "Bacterial small subunit ribosomal RNA", at positions 30 to 507 of the family's 1533-position model. The record is from RNAcentral.